RNAcentral lists this ribosomal RNA (234 nucleotides) under uncultured Streptococcaceae bacterium. Its description in RNAcentral is "partial 16S ribosomal RNA". It matches the Rfam family "Bacterial small subunit ribosomal RNA", at positions 105 to 334 of the family's 1533-position model. Lineage: Bacteria; Bacillati; Bacillota; Bacilli; Lactobacillales; Streptococcaceae. The record is from RNAcentral.
GGUGAGUAACGCGUAGGUAACCUACCUCAUAGCGGGGGAUAACUAUUGGAAACGAUAGCUAAUACCGCAUAAGAGAGACUAACGCAUGUUAGUAAUUUAAAAGGGGCAAUUGCUCCACUAUGAGAUGGACCUGCGUUGUAUUAGCUAGUUGGUGAGGUAAAGGCUCACCAAGGCGACGAUACAUAGCCGACCUGAGAGGGUGAUCGGCCACACUGGGACUGAGACACGGCCCAG